This 500-nucleotide ribosomal RNA is filed under the name uncultured bacterium. RNAcentral's name for it is "partial 16S ribosomal RNA". It matches the Rfam family "Bacterial small subunit ribosomal RNA", at positions 30 to 523 of the family's 1533-position model. The record is from RNAcentral.
AUUGAACGCUGGCGGAAUGCUUUACACAUGCAAGUCGAACGGCAGCACGGACUUCGGUCUGGUGGCGAGUGGCGAACGGGUGAGUAAUGUAUCGGGACGUGCCCAGUCGUGGGGGAUAACGUAGUGAAAAUUACGCUAAUACCGCAUACGAUCUAUGGAUGAAAGCGGGGGAUCGCAAGACCUUGCGCGAUAGGAGCGGCCGAUAUCAGAUUAGGUAGUUGGUGGGGUAAAGGCCCACCAAGCCAACGAUCUGUAGCUGGUCUGAGAGGACGACCAGCCACACUGGAACUGAGACACGGUCCAGACUCCUACGGGAGGCAGCAGUGGGGAAUUUUGGACAGUGGGCGAAAGCCUGAUCCAGCCAUUCCGCGUGCAGGAUGAAGGCCCUCGGGUUGUAAACUGCUUUUGUAUAGAACGAAAAGGUUUCUACUAAUACUAGGAGCUCAUGACGGUACUGUAAGAAUAAGCACCGGCUAACUACGUGCCAGCCGCCGCCGUAA